AGUGAACGCUGGCGGUAGGCCUAACACAUGCAAGUCGAACGGCAGCACAGUAAGAGCUUGCUCUUACGGGUGGCGAGUGGCGGACGGGUGAGGAAUACAUCGGAAUCUACUUUUUCGUGGGGGAUAACGUAGGGAAACUUACGCUAAUACCGCAUACGACCUACGGGUGAAAGCAGGGGAUCUUCGGACCUUGCGCGAUUGAAUGAGCCGAUGUCGGAUUAGCUAGUUGGCGGGGUAAAGGCCCACCAAGGCGACGAUCCGUAGCUGGUCUGAGAGGAUGAACCGCCCAAAUGGAACUGAGAACCGGUCCCAAAUCCUAAGGGAGGCCAGCAGUGGGAAUUAUUGGACAAGGGCGGAAGCCCUGACCCAGCAAUCCCGGGUGGUUGAGAAAGGCCUCCGGUUGGAAAACCCCUUUUGUUGGGAAGAAAAAGCGGCAGGUUAAGCCCCCGCUGUUCGGCCGUACCCAAAAAAAAAGGCACCGCCAACUUCGUG
This 492-nucleotide ribosomal RNA is filed under the name uncultured bacterium. RNAcentral describes it as "partial 16S ribosomal RNA". It matches the Rfam family "Bacterial small subunit ribosomal RNA", at positions 29 to 507 of the family's 1533-position model. The record is from RNAcentral.